UACGUAGGGUGCAAGCGUUGUCCGGAAUUAUUGGGCGUAAAGAGCUCGUAGGCGGUUCGUCGCGUCGGCUGUGAAAUCCCGAGGCUCAACCUCGGGUCUGCAGUCGAUACGGGCGGACUGGAGUUCGGACAGGGGAGACUGGAAUUCCUGGUGUAGCGGUGAAAUGCGCAGAUAUCAGGAGGAACACCAAUGGCGAAGGCAGCUCGCUGGAACGGUACUGACGCCUGGAGGCGACGAAAGCGUGGGAGCGAACAGG
Molecule: ribosomal RNA, 256 nt
Filed under: uncultured bacterium
Lineage: Bacteria
Description: partial 16S ribosomal RNA
Rfam family: Bacterial small subunit ribosomal RNA
Source: RNAcentral